GGUGAUAUUGUUAUUGGGAGGUGUGCAGAAUCUGGGGCUAAUCAUGGUGCAAAAUUGAAGCACACUGAAAGGGGCAUGGUCCAGAAAGUCACAUUAUCUUCUAAUGAUGAGGGAAAGAAUUUUGCUGUGGCGUCUCUGAGACAGGCAAAUUUGUGAACAUAUUACACUAAUGGUGCAUGUGAAAACACCACAGAUAUGCCUAUGUAUGUCCACAUGCACAUACACCAUGUAUUCAUGCAUGUUUUCAGACAUACACACACAUGCAUGCAUCCACAUGGUGUGAAUUAUAUUCUAAUGGCUUGGCCUUUUGCUUAAAUUAUUGCCUUUAAGAUAAAUGUCUCCUAGCUCAUUGCUGCAGGCUCGUUCUCCAUGUCUUGGAGACAA
This 384-nucleotide unclassified non-coding RNA is filed under the name Hevea brasiliensis (rubber tree). The record is from RNAcentral. Lineage: Eukaryota; Viridiplantae; Streptophyta; Magnoliopsida; Malpighiales; Euphorbiaceae.